This is a long non-coding RNA of Arachis stenosperma, 214 nucleotides long. RefSeq lists it as uncharacterized. The record is from RefSeq and is a predicted model, not a curated record. NCBI's taxonomy places the organism in Eukaryota, Viridiplantae, Streptophyta, Magnoliopsida, Fabales, Fabaceae. The transcript is spliced from 3 exons.
UCAGGGGCAUUUUCGUAAAGAUGCUCCAACUUGGUGUCGUGCUCCCUUUGAACCUGAGGGCCUGUUGAGUUCCAUAUCAGCUAUUCUGUCUGGCACCAUUGGCAUCCACUAUGGUCAUGUCUUGAUUUACUUCAAGAGGCAUUCAGAGAGGUUAAAGCAAUGGGUCUCAAUGGGGUUUGUGUUACUAAUCCUUGGCAUCAUCCUUCAUUUAACA